This 72-nucleotide transfer RNA is filed under the name Coccidioides immitis RMSCC 3703. RNAcentral describes it as "tRNA-Val (CAC) (tRNA-Val-CAC-2-1)". Lineage: Eukaryota; Fungi; Ascomycota; Eurotiomycetes; Onygenales; Onygenaceae. The record is from RNAcentral.
AGUCGCGUGGUCUAGUGGCUAUGAUUUCUCGUUCACACCGAGAAGGUCCCAGGUUCGACCCUGGUGCGACUA